Equus asinus (donkey) is the source of this 2591-nucleotide long non-coding RNA. NCBI's taxonomy places the organism in Eukaryota, Metazoa, Chordata, Mammalia, Perissodactyla, Equidae. The record is from Ensembl.
GCGUCUGCCAGCGUCUGUGUCAGCAUGCCUGUACUAGGUCACAACAAUAGCCCCCACCAGUGUCUCAGUCUCUGGUGAGGUCUCACCUCUCACCGAGAAGCACCCAGAGCCUACCAGGUCAAUAUUCACAGCUAUUGGAUGUUGUUAAGGAGCAAGCACUGAGACCCAUCCCUUCUCCUCUUGUGUUCUGUUGGCGAGAAUAGACAUAAUGGCAUCCAACUGCUGAUGUGUGUUGGCGAAUGUAGUUUGAACCUGAAGUGUAAUGGUCACUCCUACUUCCACCCUGAAUCUGGACUUGCCUAUGAAGAGAUCUGGAUAUGUAGGACAGUUUUAGAAGCCACUGGGAGGGGCCACAGGCCUGCUCCACGCACCGUAACCAGCAGGACAGUGAGUGACAAUGGUGGACCCCCUUCCUUACACACAAACACAGAAGGGUCUGUUGUAAGGAGUUAGGGAGAAGAUGAGGAGGAGGACUUGUUCCAUUUGAGAGGAAGUUGGUGGGAAUAAGAGCACAGACCAGCCGCCUUUAACCUUCUUAUUCCCAUUGCCAGAAAAUUUUACCAAUCAGCUUGGACUUGACAGAGCAGUGAUUUAUAACUCCUCCCUUGCUUCUUUCUCCAUGGUGCAAUUUCAGGAGUGAGAUGAUUGCUCCUUGCUGUUUGCUAUGCACUCUGUGGAUUCCACGCUGAGAUCACUACAGUUGGAGAAGGAUGGCCUCUAUCAAAGCAAGUCAGAGAAACUCCCAGGAGAGAAGCCAAGGUGUCAUUUCCUGGGACCAAAUGUUUUAUUGAUGGACAAAGAAUUGCACAUAUUUAACAUGGAAAAUUUGAUGAAUUUGGUCAUCAGCAAACAUCCUUGAUACCAUCACCACAAUCAGAUAAUAGACAGAUCCAACACCUCCAAGAGUUUUCUGGUUUUCCUUAAGUUUUUUUGUGUGUGUAUAUGUGGUAAGAACACUUAACGUCAUUCUUAUUAUUAAACAGAAGGUGAGUUAUGGACCAACAGAUGUUACCAAACCAAGCAAGGAAUCGAAAUAGAAAUGUUUACUUUUGCUGCAUGAUAGUAGAAUAAUGUGCUUAUUUUUGUUCAUUCGCUCAUUCAUUUGCUGAGAUAUUUACUGUGUUCCACUUGUGUUGUUUUUAGCACUUAAGAUGCAGUCGUGGAAAAGAGACCAGUUUCUUAUCAAUGAGGUUUACAUUUUAAUGGGGAAAUAGAAGAAAUGCUUUUGUUUUGAAAACCUUCAGCUGCAAUGACUUUUGAAUUAAUUUCUUCAGGCAUUUAAUUAUUCAUUAAGUUACUUUUGAAGCAAUUAUUCAAAAAUCAUGUUCAACAUAGUAUUUACCAUAAUAAAAGUGAUGUUAUUUGGAGAAAUUUUUAGAAAACAAAAUAAAGUUUAAAACCACCUAUAAUUACAUAAUAUGGAAGACUAUGGCAGUCAGUAAUGUGUGUCUAUGUCCUCCAUUUUUCUCUAUAUUUAGAUUUAUGGACCAAUGUAAUUUUCUGAAAACAAAGGAAUUGAUUUCAUAAAUUACUUUCCCUCAUUCUGUUAAAUAUUCUCUAAGAAUAUGACUUCCCCUAUUCAUAAUCUGGAAUAAAUAUGCUGCAAUUUAUUUAAGUAGUAUUCUAUCAUUAGACUUUGAGGGUAUUUUUCUCAAAUUUAUUUAAGUAACACUACGAUAAAUAGCCUGUAUACACAUCUUGGUAUGUGUCUAUGACUAUCUUCUUAGGGUAAAUGUCUAGAAGUGACUUGAUUGUGUGAAAGUCUAUUAAACAUAUACAGAUUUUAUACAUCAUCUCAACUACCCCUCCAAAGAAUGUAAUUUUACCACAUUAUAAUUUAUCAAUGUUUAUUUCCCUGCAUCCUUACUAGUAUUAGAUAUUUUCAGGUUUUCCCUCUAAUCACAGCCCAAUUGUCUACAGAAAAAAAAAUAUGUCAUUGGUUUAACUUUCAAUCCUUUGAUGAUAAGCAAGUUAAGCACUUGUUCACAUUUAUUGUUCACUGUUGUAUUGGUUAAUUGCCUUUUACAUUUCUGCCCAUAUAUCUAUUUUGUGAUUCAACUCGUAUUUUUUCUUUGUGAAAAUCUCUGUAUAUUAAGCAUAAUUAACUAUAAUUUUGUUAUAUAUUUUAAAUUACUUUUCUGGUGUUUCCUUUACCUUUUAUGGUAUUUUGGAGAUUCCAUUUUUACGUUGUUAAACCUAUUAAUGUUUACCUUUAAUUUUCUCUGGCUGCUUGUGUGGUUAAAAUCGUUUUCCACUUUGAUAUCAGAAAUUAUUUUUGUAUCUGAGCUUCAAGUUCUUCUAUUUUUUAUAAAAAGAAAGAAUCGAGUGUGGAUUUUUUUAAAUAGUAGGAGUUUUGUGGUUGAUCAGUUCUCCUGGUGUGUAUGUAUAUGCAUGCAUGUAUUAUGUAUUUUUUUAUUUCUAAAAUUUGUUUUGGAAUAGACCUUCUUCAAUGAUUUAAAAAUUCUACUUUUAUUGCAUACUAGAUUUUUAUGUAAAUUUAGCUCUGGACAGUUCUCUCACGGUUUGUGUAUUGUACAGGAUAAAACUGUUUUAGCUGUUAUAUUUUCAUAAUGUAUUUACAUAUUUGAUAA